This 253-nucleotide ribosomal RNA is filed under the name Anaerobutyricum hallii. Its description in RNAcentral is "partial 16S ribosomal RNA". It matches the Rfam family "Bacterial small subunit ribosomal RNA", at positions 524 to 776 of the family's 1533-position model. The record is from RNAcentral. Lineage: Bacteria; Bacillati; Bacillota; Clostridia; Lachnospirales; Lachnospiraceae.
UACGUAUGGAGCAAGCGUUAUCCGGAUUUACUGGGUGUAAAGGGUGCGUAGGUGGCAGUGCAAGUCAGAUGUGAAAGGCCGGGGCUCAACCCCGGAGCUGCAUUUGAAACUGCGCGGCUAGAGUACAGGAGAGGCAGGCGGAAUUCCUAGUGUAGCGGUGAAAUGCGUAGAUAUUAGGAGGAACACCAGUGGCGAAGGCGGCCUGCUAGACUGUUACUGACACUGAGGCACGAAAGCGUGGGGAGCAAACAGG